GAUGAACGCUAGCUACAGGCUUAACACUUGCAAGUCGCGGGGCAGCAUGGGGGUUGCUUGCAACUCCCGAUGGCGACCGGCGCACGGGUGAGUAACGCGUAUCCAACCUGCCCUUCACCACGGGAUAACCCGGCGAAAGUCGGACUAAUACCGUAUGUUGUCCAUUGACGGCAUCCGAUUUGGACGAAAGGCUUUGCGGUGAAGGAUGGGGAUGCGUCCGAUUAGCCAGACGGCGGGGUAACGGCCCACCGUGGCUACGAUCGGUAGGGGUUCUGAGAGGAAGGUCCCCCACACUGGAACUGAGACACGGUCCAGACUCCUACGGGAGGCAGCAGUGAGGAAUAUUGGUCAAUGGGCGUAAGCCUGAACCAGCCAAGUAGCGUGCAGGAUGACGGCCCUAUGGGUGGUAAACUGCUUUUAUGCGGGGAUAAAGUGGCCCACGUGUGGGCUUUUGCAGGUACCGCAUGAAUAAGGACCGGCUAAUUCCGUG
Molecule: ribosomal RNA, 490 nt
Filed under: uncultured bacterium
Lineage: Bacteria
Description: partial 16S ribosomal RNA
Rfam family: Bacterial small subunit ribosomal RNA
Source: RNAcentral